GACGAACGCUGGCGGCGUGCUUAACACAUGCAAGUCGAGCGGUAAGGCCCUUUCGGGGUACGACGAGCGGCGAACGGGUGAGUAACACGUGGGUGACCUGCCCUUAGCUCUGGGAUAAGCCUGGGAAACGUGGGUCUAAUACCGGAUAUGACUCCAUGACGCAUGUUGUGGGGUGGAAAGCCUUGUGCGGCUAGGGAUGGGCCCGCGGCCUAUCAGCUUGUUGGUGGGGUGAUGGCCUACCAAGGCGACGACGGGUAGCCGGCCUGAGAGGGCGACCGGCCACACUGGGACUGAGACACGGCCCAGACUCCUACGGGAGGCAGCAGUGGGGAAUCUUGCGCAAUGGGCGAAAGCCUGACGCAGCGACGCCGCGUGGGGGAUGACGGCCU
RNAcentral lists this ribosomal RNA (389 nucleotides) under uncultured bacterium. RNAcentral's name for it is "bacterial SSU rRNA". It matches the Rfam family "Bacterial small subunit ribosomal RNA", at positions 28 to 417 of the family's 1533-position model. The record is from RNAcentral.